UGGAAAACCAGCUGGAGUACAAUAAGAGGCGAGAAAGAGAACUGCACAGAAAGCAUGUCAUGGAACUUCGGCAACAGCCAAAAAACUUAAAGGCCAUGGAAAUGCAAAUUAAAAAACAGUUUCAGGACACUUGCAAAGUACAGACCAAACAGUAUAAAGCACUCAAGAAUCACCAGUUGGAAGUUACUCCAAAGAAUGAGCACAAAACAAUCUUAAAGACACUGAAAGAUGAGCAGACAAGAAAACUUGCCAUUUUGGCAGAGCAGUAUGAACAGAGUAUAAAUGAAAUGAUGGCCUCUCAAGCGGUAAGUGGUUAGGUUUGGUGCCACGGCUUCGAGAGCUUUGGGAAUCAAGAAAAUCCAAGAUCCAGCCUGUUGUUCCCAAGAUGAUUCUUGCACAAAUUUAGGAUAUUGAUGUUUUUCUGCCCAAAGGACUGAGGAAAGGACGACGUUGAAUAAAGCCAAGCCAAUGUGGAUACUUGCUGGAGUGUCUUAUAAGAUGGAACUCAAGGAGUGACAUGCCACAUCAGACCUGUGGCACAUAGGGACUUUGAGGGCAAAUGUGAUAGAUACCACAUAUGAUACCAUGUGUUCAUUUAUCAAAGAUUUUACUGACUGCCCUCCCCGCAACUAAUAUCAGGCACAAAUGAAUAAGACAGUCCCUGCCCUUAGGGAGCC
RNAcentral lists this small RNA (677 nucleotides) under Pan troglodytes (chimpanzee). RNAcentral's name for it is "retained intron". Lineage: Eukaryota; Metazoa; Chordata; Mammalia; Primates; Hominidae. The record is from RNAcentral.